CAACCUCUGCCGUGCCCGACAGCGUACGCUUACAUUUGCCUUGGCCCUAUUGAACGACUCCGGGGACGCAAACAAGGCCGGUGUGCAUGCCCGCCACGUGCGGUAAGCCCGACGCCACGCAAGCGACCCCACCUGAUCCUCGGGAUCAAGGUCGUUUCGUACGCAUCGACGCGGUGGAGGCUGC
This 184-nucleotide non-coding RNA is filed under the name Hydrogenophaga sp. RNAcentral's name for it is "6S RNA". It matches the Rfam family "6S / SsrS RNA". From Rfam's summary of the family: E. coli 6S RNA was the first non coding RNA to be sequenced, but its function was unknown until recently. It consists of 184 nucleotides that fold into an extended hairpin structure with a large single-stranded internal bulge. The 6S RNA specifically associates with RNA polymerase holoenzyme containing the sigma70 specificity factor. The record is from RNAcentral. Lineage: Bacteria; Pseudomonadati; Pseudomonadota; Betaproteobacteria; Burkholderiales; Comamonadaceae. RNAcentral also lists the same sequence under 3 other names.